UACGAAGGGGGCUAGCGUUGUCCGGAAUUACUGGGCGUAAAGAGCUCGUAGGUGGUUUGUCACGUUGUUCGUGAAAACCCACAGCUCAACUGUGGGCGUGCGAGCGAUACGGGCAGACUAGAGUACUGCAGGGGAGACUGGAAUUCCUGGUGUAGCGGUGGAAUGCGCAGAUAUCAGGAGGAACACCGGUGGCGAAGGCGGGUCUCUGGGCAGUAACUGACGCUGAGGAGCGAAAGCGUGGGGAGCGAACAGG
RNAcentral lists this ribosomal RNA (253 nucleotides) under uncultured bacterium. RNAcentral's name for it is "partial 16S ribosomal RNA". It matches the Rfam family "Bacterial small subunit ribosomal RNA", at positions 524 to 776 of the family's 1533-position model. The record is from RNAcentral.